RNAcentral lists this transfer RNA (72 nucleotides) under Camelus bactrianus (Bactrian camel). It matches the Rfam family "tRNA". Rfam says of the family: Transfer RNA (tRNA) molecules are approximately 80 nucleotides in length. Their secondary structure includes four short double-helical elements and three loops (D, anti-codon, and T loops). Lineage: Eukaryota; Metazoa; Chordata; Mammalia; Artiodactyla; Camelidae. RNAcentral also lists the same sequence under 1 other name. The record is from Rfam by way of RNAcentral.
GAGGGUAUAGCCCAGUGGUAUAGCACAUGCUUAGCAUGCACAAGGUCCUGGGUUCAAUCCCCAGUACCUCCA